GACGAACGCUGGCGGCGUGCUUAACACAUGCAAGUCGAACGGAAAGGCCCUGCUUUUGUGGGGUGCCCGAGUGGCGAACGGGUGAGUAACACGUGAGUAACCUGCCCUUGACUUUGGGAUAACUUCAGGAAACUGGGGCUAAUACCGGAUAGGAGCUCCUGCUGCAUGGUGGGGGUUGGAAAGUUUCGGCGGUUGGGGAUGGACUCGCGGCUUAUCAGCUUGUUGGUGGGGUAGUGGCUUACCAAGGCUUUGACGGGUAGCCGGCCUGAGAGGGUGACCGGCCACAUUGGGACUGAGAUACGGCCCAGACUCCUACGGGAGGCAGCAGUGGGGAAUAUUGCACAAUGGGCGGAAGCCUGAUGCAGCAACGCCGCGUGCGGGAUGACGGCCUUCGGGUUGUAAACCGCUUUCGCCUGUGACGAAGCGUGAGUGACGGUAAUGGGUAAAGAAGCACCGGCUAACUACGUGCCAGCAGCCGCGGUGAUACGUAGGGUGCGAGCGUUGUCCGGAUUUAUUGGGCGUAAAGGGCUCGUAGGUGGUUGAUCGCGUCGGAAGUGUAAUCUUGGGGCUUAACCCUGAGCGUGCUUUCGAUACGGGUUGACUUGAGGAAGGUAGGGGAGAAUGGAAUUCCUGGUGGAGCGGUGGAAUGCGCAGAUAUCAGGAGGAACACCAGUGGCGAAGGCGGUUCUCUGGGCCUUUCCUGACGCUGAGGAGCGAAAGCGUGGGGAGCGAACAGGCUUAGAUACCCUGGUAGUCCACGCUGUAAACGGUGGGUACUAGGUGUGGGGUCCAUUCCACGGGUUCCGUGCCGUAGCUAACGCUUUAAGUACCCCGCCUGGGGAGUACGGCCGCAAGGCUAAAACUCAAAGGAAUUGACGGGGCCCCGCACAAGCGGCGGAGCAUGCGGAUUAAUUCGAUGCAACGCGUAGAACCUUACCUGGGUUUGACAUGGAUCGGGAGCGCUCAGAGAUGGGUGUGCCUCUUUUGGGGUCGGUUCACAGGUGGUGCAUGGCUGUCGUCAGCUCGUGUCGUGAGAUGUUGGGUUAAGUCCCGCAACGAGCGCAACCCUUGUUCACUGUUGCCAGCACGUUAUGGUGGGGACUCAGUGGAGACCGCCGGGGUCAACUCGGAGGAAGGUGGGGAUGACGUCAAGUCAUCAUGCCCCUUAUGUCCAGGGCUUCACGCAUGCUACAAUGGCUGGUACAGAGAGUGGCGAGCCUGUGAGGGUGAGCGAAUCUCGGAAAGCCGGUCUCAGUUCGGAUUGGGGUCUGCAACUCGACCUCAUGAAGUCGGAGUCGCUAGUAAUCGCAGAUCAGCAACGCUGCGGUGAAUACGUUCCCGGG
Molecule: ribosomal RNA, 1343 nt
Filed under: uncultured bacterium
Lineage: Bacteria
Description: 16S ribosomal RNA
Rfam family: Bacterial small subunit ribosomal RNA
Source: RNAcentral